AGUGAACGCUGGCGGUAGGCCUAACACAUGCAAGUCGAUCGGCAGCACAGUAAGAGCUUGCUCUUACGGGUGGCGAGUGGCGGACGGGUGAGGAAUACAUCGGAAUCUACUUUUUCGUGGGGGAUAACGUAGGGAAACCUACGCUAAUACCGCAUACGACCUACGGGUGAAAGCAGGGGAUCUUCGGACCUUGCGCGAUUGAAUGAGCCGAUGUCGGAUUAGCUAGUUGGCGGGGUAAAGGCCCACCAAGGCGACGAUCCGUAGCUGGUCUGAGAGGAUGAUCAGCCACACUGGAACUGAGACACGGUCCAGACUCCUACGGGAGGCAGCAGUGGGGAAUAUUGGACAAUGGGCGCAAGCCUGAUCCAGCCAUACCGCGUGGGUGAAGAAGGCCUUCGGGUUGUAAAGCCCUUUUGUUGGGAAAGAAAAGCAGCAGGUUAAUACCCCGCUGUUCUGACGGUACCCAAAGAAUAAGCACCGGCUAACUUCGUG
This 492-nucleotide ribosomal RNA is filed under the name uncultured bacterium. RNAcentral describes it as "partial 16S ribosomal RNA". It matches the Rfam family "Bacterial small subunit ribosomal RNA", at positions 29 to 507 of the family's 1533-position model. The record is from RNAcentral.